This 329-nucleotide ribosomal RNA is filed under the name uncultured eukaryote. RNAcentral's name for it is "partial 18S ribosomal RNA". It matches the Rfam family "Eukaryotic small subunit ribosomal RNA", at positions 1470 to 1796 of the family's 1831-position model. The record is from RNAcentral.
CCCUUAGAUGUUCUGGGCCGCACGCGCGCUACGCUGACGAUGGCAACGAGUUUUUCCUUCGCCGAAAGGUGUGGGUAAUCUUUUGAAACAUCGUCGUGCUGGGGAUAGAUCAUUGCAAUUUUUGAUCUUGAACGAGGAAUUCCUAGUAAGCGCGAGUCAUCAGCUCGCGUUGAUUACGUCCCUGCCCUUUGUACACACCGCCCGUCGCUACUACCGAUUGAAUGGUUUAGUGAGGACUCCUGAUUGGCGCCGCCGCCCCGGCAACGGAGCAGCGGACUGCCGAAAAGUUGUUCAAACUUGAUCAUUUAGAGGAAGUAAAAGUCGUAACA